AAAAAUCAGUGCAGGAUCUAGUGAAAGGACUCAAGCUCGUGAUAGAUAAUUAUUUUCUUUGAGUCCUUCCAUUAGAUCCCGCAAUGAUUUUU
This 92-nucleotide microRNA precursor is filed under the name Populus trichocarpa (black cottonwood). RNAcentral describes it as "miR6456 stem-loop (ptc-MIR6456)". The record is from miRBase by way of RNAcentral. Lineage: Eukaryota; Viridiplantae; Streptophyta; Magnoliopsida; Malpighiales; Salicaceae.